ACACUCCUGCGGGAGGCAGCAGUGGGGAAUAUUGCACAAUGGGCGCAAGCCUGAUGCAGCCAUGCCGCGUGUAUGAAGAAGGCCUUCGGGUUGUAAAGUACUUUCAGCGGGGAGGAAGGCGAUAAGGUUAAUAACCUUGUUGAUUGACGUUACCCGCAGAAGAAGCACCGGCUAACUCCGUGCCAGCAGCCGCGGUAAUACGGAGGGUGCAAGCGUUAAUCGGAAUUACUGGGCGUAAAGCGCACGCAGGCGGUCUGUCAAGUCGGAUGUGAAAUCCCCGGGCUCAACCUGGGAACUGCAUUCGAAACUGGCAGGCUAGAGUCUUGUAGAGGGGGGUAGAAUUCCAGGUGUAGCGGUGAAAUGCGUAGAGAUCUGGAGGAAUACCGGUGGCGAAGGCGGCCCCCUGGACAAAGACUGACGCUCAGGUGCGAAAGCGUGGGGAGCAAACAGGAUUAGAUACCCCUGUAGUCCC
RNAcentral lists this ribosomal RNA (472 nucleotides) under uncultured organism. Its description in RNAcentral is "partial 16S ribosomal RNA". It matches the Rfam family "Bacterial small subunit ribosomal RNA", at positions 333 to 797 of the family's 1533-position model. The record is from RNAcentral.